This 1343-nucleotide ribosomal RNA is filed under the name uncultured bacterium. Its description in RNAcentral is "16S ribosomal RNA". It matches the Rfam family "Bacterial small subunit ribosomal RNA", at positions 28 to 1378 of the family's 1533-position model. The record is from RNAcentral.
GACGAACGCUGGCGGCGUGCUUAACGCAUGCAAGUCGAACGGAAAGGCCCUGCUUUUGUGGGGUGCUCGAGUGGCAAACGGGUGAGUAACACGUGAGUAACCUGCCCUUGACUUUGGGAUAACUUCAGGAAACUGGGGCUAAUACCGGAUAGGAGCUCCUGCUGCAUGGUGGGGGUUGGAAAGUUUCGGCGGUUGGGGAUGGACUCGCGGCUUAUCAGCUUGUUGGUGGGGUAGUGGCUUACCAAGGCUUUGACGGGUAGCCGGCCUGAGAGGGUGACCGGCCACAUUGGGACUGAGAUACGGCCCAGACUCCUACGGGAGGCAGCAGUGGGGAAUAUUGCACAAUGGGCGGAAGCCUGAUGCAGCAACGCCGCGUGCGGGAUGACGGCCUUCGGGUUGUAAACCGCUUUCGCCUGUGACGAAGCGUGAGUGACGGUAAUGGGUAAAGAAGCGCCGGCUAACUACGUGCCAGCAGCCGCGGUGAUACGUAGGGUGCGAGCGUUGUCCGGAUUUAUUGGGCGUAAAGGGCUCGUAGGUGGUUGAUCGCGUCGGAAGUGUAAUCUUGGGGCUUAACCCUGAGCGUGCUUUCGAUACGGGUUGACUUGAGGAAGGUAGGGGAGAAUGGAAUUCCUGGUGGAGCGGUGGAAUGCGCAGAUAUCAGGAGGAACACCAGUGGCGAAGGCGGUUCUCUGGGCCUUUCCUGACGCUGAGGAGCGAAAGCGUGGGGAGCGAACAGGCUUAGAUACCCUGGUAGUCCACGCUGUAAACGGUGGGUACUAGGUGUGGGGUCCAUUCCACGGGUUCCGUGCCGUAGCUAACGCUUUAAGUACCCCGCCUGGGGAGUACGGCCGCAAGGCUAAAACUCAAAGGAAUUGACGGGGCCCCGCACAAGCGGCGGAGCAUGCGGAUUAAUUCGAUGCAACGCGUAGAACCUUACCUGGGUUUGACAUGGAUCGGGAGUGCUCAGAGAUGGGUGUGCCUCUUUUGGGGUCGGUUCACAGGUGGUGCAUGGCUGUCGUCAGCUCGUGUCGUGAGAUGUUGGGUUAAGUCCCGCAACGAGCGCAACCCUUGUUCACUGUUGCCAGCACGUUAUGGUGGGGACUCAGUGGAGACCGCCGGGGUCAACUCGGAGGAAGGUGGGGAUGACGUCAAGUCAUCAUGCCCCUUAUGUCCAGGGCUUCACGCAUGCUACAAUGGCUGGUACAGAGAGUGGCGAGCCUGUGAGGGUGAGCGAAUCUCGGAAAGCCGGUCUCAGUUCGGAUUGGGGUCUGCAACUCGACCUCAUGAAGUCGGAGUCGCUAGUAAUCGCAGAUCAGCAACGCUGCGGUGAAUACGUUCCCGGG